This 324-nucleotide unclassified non-coding RNA is filed under the name Hevea brasiliensis (rubber tree). Lineage: Eukaryota; Viridiplantae; Streptophyta; Magnoliopsida; Malpighiales; Euphorbiaceae. The record is from RNAcentral.
CACGGCCAGCAUCAGAUGUAAGUAGUCCAAGUGCCUCAAUAAGGUACCCUAAACUGACCCAUAAUCCCAACUCCAUCCCUGCAUUGCGGAUCUUAACAUCAUCUCUUGCUUGAAACACAAAUGGUAAAAAUGGGAUUGCAGACAUCACAAACCGCAUAGCUGAGAAGGCUGCAGGAUCCAUCAUAGCUUCAACAGCUUUCACUACUGGAAUGUUACUUGCAUAGACAAUGGUGAUGAAAUUAAGCAAGAGAAUACUCCUGAUCUUGUCAGAGGCAAACAAAAUCUCCCUCAAGAAAGGCUGCUUCUUCUUCUUAACAUUCUCCG